RNAcentral lists this ribosomal RNA (477 nucleotides) under uncultured bacterium. RNAcentral describes it as "bacterial SSU rRNA". It matches the Rfam family "Bacterial small subunit ribosomal RNA", at positions 32 to 518 of the family's 1533-position model. The record is from RNAcentral.
AAUCAACGCUGGCGGCGUGCCUCAGACAUGCAAGUCGAACGAUUAAAGCUCUCUUCGGAGAGUGUAUAGAGUGGCGCACGGGUGAGUAACACGUAAGUAAUCUACCUUUGAGUGGGGAAUAACAAUCGGAAACGAUUGCUAAUACCGCAUAAUGCAGCGGCAUCGCAAGAUGACAGUUGUUAAAGGAGCAAUCCGCUUAAAGAGGAGCUUGCGGCAGAUUAGCUAGUUGGUAAGGUAAUGGCUUACCAAGGCUACGAUCUGUAUCCGGUCUAAGAGGACGGUCGGACACACUGACACUGAAUAACGGGUCAGACUCCUACGGAGGCAGCAGUCGGGAAUUUGGGUCAAUGGGCGAAAGCCUGACCCAGCAACGCCGCGUGAAGGAUGAAGUAUUUCGGUAUGUAAACUUCGAAAGAAUAGGAAGAAUAAAUGACGGUACUAUUUAUAAGGUCCGGCUAACUACGUGCCAGCCGCCGC